This 77-nucleotide transfer RNA is filed under the name Myxococcales bacterium. Its description in RNAcentral is "tRNA-Met". It matches the Rfam family "tRNA". Rfam says of the family: Transfer RNA (tRNA) molecules are approximately 80 nucleotides in length. Their secondary structure includes four short double-helical elements and three loops (D, anti-codon, and T loops). The record is from RNAcentral. RNAcentral also lists the same sequence under 1 other name. Lineage: Bacteria; Pseudomonadati; Myxococcota; Myxococcia; Myxococcales.
UGCGGGGUAGAGAAGUUGGCCAUCUCGUCGGGCUCAUAACCCGAAGAUCGCAGGUUCGAAUCCUGCCCCCGCUACCA